UUGACCAACCGUCAUCUCUCGAUUGGAUCUUCUUCUACGUGGUUUUUUUCCAUGGCUGCCGGCGAUCCCAGUUCCCUCUCCCUCCAUGGCAACGCCGGCUCCCCCUUCCCUCCCCUUCUCAUGCCCCUCUCGACCUACACUCCACCACCUUCCCUUUCUUUCUCCGCCUUGUGGAUUCCUAGCGGCGGCGCGAGGCCGCACACCCCGGAGAGCCUGCGACUCGAGUUGCCUCCCGAGCGCCGUCGCUGCAUCUGCCCGGCAAGCGCCGCCGCCAACGCAUCUGCCUGGCGAGCGCUGCCGCCAACGCAUCUUCCCGGUGAGCGCCGCUGCCGCCGACGCAUGCUCUCAGCUCCAAAAAAAAACUCGUUUUUUUUCCGAAAUAACGAGGAAUCGCCGGAUCUGCGUGCGGCGGUGCUGAAUCCGGUGGUGUUGUGAGCCCAGCCGUUCACCGACACUUACUACCCCCAGGCCGGGCCUUCGUCGAGCCGAGGAAGGAGGUGGACGACGUUCAUGAGGUGCAAGCUGCAGAAUCCUGGCAACUAAUACGGAAGAGAGGAGAUGUAUCCAGUAUUUUUAAGUACCCUGCCACUAAUCCAUUGGCGUAGAUAGAAUAUUUCAAUGAUGGUCACGCCAAGUUAGUUUGUAUGAUCAUCACACUAAUUAGUACUAAUACAAUAUAGUCUGAAGAGGCUAAAUUGAAUUAGCUAUCUAGCUAUUCCAUUUCUGUUCUUCCUUUCUAUCUGUGUACAUAACUGAAUAUUUGUGUAUAUUAUUGUAGCAGUCAAGAGCCAAAGAACGUGGACGUACAUCUCAACUACUUGAAUCUGCAUCCUUACGAGGUGUUAUGCCAAAUGCAUCUUGCUGCUAGAGAUUGCGAUUUUAGAUACUUGUUUACGAGAGCUGAAGCACCAUUUUAUUUUGUUCGCCAGUAAAUGAAAAUGAAACAUUGUUACCUAGAUGUCAGCUUAAGUAUUUCCUUAUCUGAGAAUACUUGAGAACGGUCAAUCUAUGAUGAUAUUCUUAGUAUUCUGAAUUUGCACCAAAACUCCGAGUAAUCUGUGAUGAUUUAGAUGGUACGAUAAUGAAUUUUUACUUGACUGAAGAUGCCAGUUUGUAAGCAUCACACAAACUCUUCAGGCGAGCAGGUGAGUGUUUUGCAUAAGUAACUGCCCUGGAACUAGCUACCUCUUCAUAGUUUCACAUGCUCUUGCAAAUAUCUUCUUAUCUCUUUUCAGUUUGUUAGGUAGAGAAAUUAAACAACGGGAAAACUUGGAAGCCAGACCAGGCACAUCUCAGUCUGAAAAUUUGAACUGACUAAGUAAGAAAAUAGAAUAUAUUUACUGAUGAUAACUAUUUUAUCUCUCCAGGUUGAAGGCUAACGGCUUACUAAAUUAAGGUUUUCAUGGUGAUAUAUUUUGAGCUUAUACACCACUCUCUGCUAAGUGCCAAUUCCAGCUGUUGUCAUUUGUGAGUAGUAACUAUGAUUGUCCUCUUUUAACUUAUCUUACUUUAUCACUGGAAUAUGCA
This is a non-coding RNA of Lolium perenne, 1527 nucleotides long. The record is from RefSeq and is a predicted model, not a curated record. NCBI's taxonomy places the organism in Eukaryota, Viridiplantae, Streptophyta, Magnoliopsida, Poales, Poaceae.